CGGCAGUGGACUCCUGUCCGUCUUGGCGUAGGAGAUUCCGGCCUCCGUUUUGGUCACCUUCACCUCGGUUUCAGACGCAGGUGAUGGAUUAAGACACAAAUGUUGGGCCACAGGACUGAGGGCAUUCCUUUCCAACAGCUUGAGCUUCCCGGAGAGUCCACCGAAGGCUUUUGUUUGAUCCACUUGCACAUCCAGAAAGGAGCAGCAGGCUGUUCAACCUGCUCUCUAUGGAGGAUGACCAAGUCAGAAACACCUGUCAUUUGAAGCAACUUCCAAACUUGAUCAGGCAGCCACAUCUGGAGAAAACUUCAGCAGCUCCAAGGAGAAGGGGGAGGACCCGGCAUUAGAUGGAAGCCACUGCCCAGCUCGCUGCAUAACUGUGGUUUACUUCAUGCCACGAGAGUCACCUGAGUCUAACACCACCUCGAACAGCAGCCUCAUUCCACUCACGCUGACACCUUCCACGUUCAAGAGCCACAGCCUCUAUGCUCCUCAAGAGCUCCAGCCAUGCCACUCACCAAGAAUUCCAGCCUCGCCUCUCUCAAGAACCACAGCCAUGCUCCUCGUCUUGAGCGCCAGCCACGCUCUGCGCCAGUAAAAUAAAUCAUCUUACUUACCAA
This is a long non-coding RNA of Oryzias latipes (Japanese medaka), 620 nucleotides long. RefSeq lists it as uncharacterized. NCBI's taxonomy places the organism in Eukaryota, Metazoa, Chordata, Actinopteri, Beloniformes, Adrianichthyidae. The record is from RefSeq and is a predicted model, not a curated record.